CGCCUUUCGCUAAAUAAACAUGAAAGGUCCUGCCUGCCCAGUGAUAUAUUUUUAACGGCCGCGGUAUUAUGACCGUGCAAAGGUAGCAUAAUCACUUGUCUUUUAAAUUGAGACCGGUAUGAAUGGCAAAACGAAAGCCCAACUGUCUCCUUAAGCCAGUCAAUGAAAUUGAUCUUCUCGUGCAGAAGCGAGAAUAUAAGUAUAAGACGAGAAGACCCUAUGGAGCUUAAAAACAAGGCUAUAUAGGCACCCUACAAUAGCAUUAAAUUUAGGUUGGGGCGACCAUGAGGUAAAAUGUAACCCUCAAGACAACUAUUAGAAGGACACUUCAAGUAAAAAUAUAAUUUAUAUAUGACCCAAUAAUGAUCAACGAACCAAGUUACCCUAGGGAUAACAGCGCAAUCCAUUCCCAAAGCCCAUAUCGACGAAUGGGUUUACGACCUCGAUGUUGGAUCAGGACCCCCUAAUGGUGCAACAGCUAUUAAAGGUUCGUUUGUUCAACGAUUAAAGUCCU
RNAcentral lists this ribosomal RNA (514 nucleotides) under Chiropterotriton priscus (primeval splayfoot salamander). Its description in RNAcentral is "partial 16S large subunit ribosomal RNA". It matches the Rfam family "Bacterial large subunit ribosomal RNA", at positions 1816 to 2597 of the family's 2925-position model. The record is from RNAcentral. Lineage: Eukaryota; Metazoa; Chordata; Amphibia; Caudata; Plethodontidae.